CCUACGGGAGGCAGCAGUGAGGAAUAUUGGUCAAUGGACGAGAGUCUGAACCAGCCAAGCAGCGUGAAGGAUGACUGCCCUCUGGGUUGUAAACUUCUUUUAUAUGGGAAUAAAACAUGGUAUGCAUACCCUCUUGUAUGUACCAUAUGAAUAAGGAUCGGCUAACUCCGUGCCAGCAGCCGCGGUAAUACGGAGGAUCCGAGCGUUAUCCGGAUUUAUUGGGUUUAAAGGGAGCGUAGGUGGAUUGUUAAGUCAGUUGUGAAAGGUUGCGGCUCAACCGUAAAAUUGCAGUUGAAACUGGCAGGCUUGAGUACAGUAGAGGUGGGCGGAAUUCGUGGUGUAGCGGUGAAAUGCGUAGAUAUCACGAAGAACUCCGGUUGCGAAGGCGGCUCACUGGACUGCAACUGACACUGAGGCUCGAAAGUGUGGGGAUCAAACAGGAUUAGAUACCCGAGUAGUC
This 460-nucleotide ribosomal RNA is filed under the name uncultured bacterium. Its description in RNAcentral is "partial 16S ribosomal RNA". It matches the Rfam family "Bacterial small subunit ribosomal RNA", at positions 338 to 795 of the family's 1533-position model. The record is from RNAcentral.